CACAGACAAAAUCUACUUGGUUAACAAGAUAGUUUUCCUUUUUAAAGGAUUGGCGGUAGGGGGAAGUGAAAUGUAGAGACCAUAGGCCUGCAAAGACUAAAAUAUUUACCUUUUCCCCUUUACAGAAAGAGUGUGAUGAUCCCUGAUGUACAAAAUGCUUCAAAACUGACAGUGUACUUAUAAUACAUAUUAGCUGUGCAUAGCUGGCAAUACACCUUAUUUUCAUAUAUAUCUCAGUUAUUUAAAUUAUCUUUCCUCAUGAUAAGGGGGAGAAAAAGGAAAGAUUUAAACCUGAUUACUUCCAAAUUCUGCAUUCUUUAAGCCCAGAGGUUGAUAUUAAAGCCUAGGGCAGGGUUGGUGUAGUCUACCAAAUUAUUAGGCCACUACUAUGAGCAGGGAGUUCAGGCUGUCUCCUUGGGGCAUCACUGUUCCAGGACUACUCAUUCUUUUUUCUAACCAUCACUAGGAAUCCCAAACCCCAGGAAUCCUGUUCACUCAAGCUCAAAGAAAUCAUGUUACUGGCUGAUCCUUCUCAGCAGGCUGGCACAUCUGUGUAUUUUCUAUCUAAAUGUUCACAUUGGCCUGAGGCAUCUCUUCACAUUUUCUCUACAUAGCCUGACACUUUCCUCUUCUCAUCAGCCUAGAGCUUCUGAGGAAAAGGGAGGACUGAAAUACAAUUUCACUGAUAUGUCUCUCUCAAACGGAGUGGAGGUAAAAAAAAUAAACUUUAAAAAAAUACCUAAAACUUAAUAAAUGACUCAAAACUAUAAUAAAAAGAACCUUACACUGGCCCAGGCAUUAUAUUGCCAAUCUCAAGAUAGCUCCUCAAGGUAAUAACAAAAUCAAAAA
Myotis brandtii (Brandt's bat) is the source of this 849-nucleotide long non-coding RNA. RefSeq lists it as uncharacterized. NCBI's taxonomy places the organism in Eukaryota, Metazoa, Chordata, Mammalia, Chiroptera, Vespertilionidae. The transcript is spliced from 3 exons. The record is from RefSeq and is a predicted model, not a curated record.